GGUUGAUCCUGCCAGUAGUCAUAUGCUUGUCUCAAAGAUUAAGCCAUGCAUGUCUAAGUACAAACCUUUACACGGUGAAACCGCGAAUGGCUCAUUAAAUCAGCUAUGGUUCCUUAGAUCGUCUCUUCCUACUCGGAUAACUGUGGAAAAUCUAGAGCUAAUACGUGCUUACAAGCCCUGACCUCGCGGGAGGGGCGCAUUUAUUAGAUCAAAACCAAUCGAGGCUUGCCUCGUCUGCUUGGUGACUCUGGAUAACUUUUGUGCUGAUCGCAUGGCCUCUGCGCCGGCGACGUAUCUUUCAAGUGUCUGCCCUAUCAACUUACGAUGGUAGGUGAUAUGCCUACCAUGGUUAUAACGGGUAACGGGGAAUCAGGGUUCGAUUCCGGAGAGGGAGCCUGAGAAACGGCUACCACAUCUAAGGAAGGCAGCAGGCGCGCGAAUUACCCACUCCCGGCACGGGGAGGUAGUGACGAAAAAUAACGAUACGGGACUCUUUUGAGGCCCCGUAAUUGGAAUGAGUACACUUUAAAUCCGUUAACGAGAAUCUAUUGGAGGGCAAGUCUGGUGCCAGCAGCCGCGGUAAUUCCAGCUCCAAUAGCGUAUAUUAAUGUUGUUGCAGUUAAAAAGCUCGUAGUUGGAUCUGAGGACUCGAAUCGUCGGUGCAGUCAACGCUGUUACUGUUGAUUCGGCCUACCUAGUCGGUGCUCGCUCUUGGUGUUCUUAAUUGAAUGCCCUGAGUGCCCGACAUGUUUACUUUGAAAAAAUUAGAGUGCUCAAAGCAGGCCAUUAGCCGGAAUACUUCAGCAUGGAAUAAUGGAAUAGGACUUCGGUUCUAUUUUGUUGGUUUUCGGAACCCGAGGUAAUGAUUAAGAGAGACAGACGGGGGCAUUCGUACUGCGGUGUUAGAGGUGAAAUUCUUGGAUCGCCGCAAGACGAACAACUGCGAAAGCAUUUGCCAAGAAUGUUUUCAUUAAUCAAGAACGAAAGUCAGAGGUUCGAAGACGAUCAGAUACCGUCCUAGUUCUGACCAUAAACGAUGCCAACUGGCGAUCCGAGAUCGUUUGCUAUUUGACCUCUCGGGCAGCCUCCGGGAAACCAAAGUCUUUAGGUUCCGGGGGAAGUAUGGUUGCAAAGCUGGAACUUAAAGGAAUUGACGGAAGGGCACCACCAGGAGUGGAGCCUGCGGCUUAAUUUGACCCAACACGGGAAAACUCACCCGGCCCGGACACUGUUAGGAUUGACAGAUUGAGAGCUCUUUCUUGAUUCGGUGGGUGGUGGUGCAUGGCCGUUCUUAGUUGGUGGAGCGAUUUGUCUGGUUAAUUCCGAUAACGAACGAGACUCUAGCCUGCUAAAUAGUACGCCGAUAUCCAUUUUGUCGGUGCCGACUUCUUAGAGGGACAAGCGUCUUGAAGACGCACGAGAUUGAAC
Molecule: ribosomal RNA, 1428 nt
Filed under: metagenome
Description: SSU rRNA
Rfam family: Eukaryotic small subunit ribosomal RNA
Source: RNAcentral